This 332-nucleotide unclassified non-coding RNA is filed under the name Hevea brasiliensis (rubber tree). Lineage: Eukaryota; Viridiplantae; Streptophyta; Magnoliopsida; Malpighiales; Euphorbiaceae. The record is from RNAcentral.
GCAGCUGACUCUCUAUUCUUGAUCUUUCUCCUUAGUCUCCUAUCAAUAGUCUUAUCGAUGUCCAUAGCACCCCUCUUCCGGUCAGAAACUGGUGUAUCAGACAGCGAAGGAGAUGGUGACAAGCCUAUUGGAGGCACAAAAUUUUGCAUUGCCGUAGGAUUAUCCAAUGACAUUGUAUGUCCUAAAGAAGCAUCAGCAACGAAAAGCCCGGCUUUCACCAAGUAGUCCUCCAAAGUAGUCUCACCAAGGGUUAGCUCUCUCUCCUGGCUGUUCAUCUCCUCAAGAUUUAUCACCUUCUGCCCUUAUUGUAUGUCUCUCCCCACACUUUAUCA